RNAcentral lists this ribosomal RNA (207 nucleotides) under uncultured bacterium. RNAcentral's name for it is "partial 16S ribosomal RNA". It matches the Rfam family "Bacterial small subunit ribosomal RNA", at positions 568 to 774 of the family's 1533-position model. The record is from RNAcentral.
CGCGUAGGCGGGAUGGCAAGUCGGUCGUGAAAUCCCUCGGCUCUACUGAGGAGCGUCGAUCGAUACUGCCGUUCUUGAGGGAUGCAGAGGAGACUGGAAUUCCCGGUGUAGCGGUGAAAUGUGUAGAGAUCGGGAGGAACACCGGUGGCGAAGGCGGGUCUCUGGGCAUCUCCUGACGCUGAGGCGCGAAAGCGUGGGGAGCAAACG